GCCCGGGUGGCUUAGCUGGUCAUAGCGCCGCACUCAUAGGGUAUCGAGCUUCGGUGCGGCAUCCCACUGCCACGUGGAUGCUCAGCAUGUCCGCGAGGCCCGCCGAGCCUCGAACCUGGGACAUGCGGAGAUCGAGGGUUCAAAACCCUCCCCGGGCA
This 158-nucleotide transfer RNA is filed under the name Halobacterium salinarum. Its description in RNAcentral is "tRNA-Xxx". It matches the Rfam family "tRNA". Rfam says of the family: Transfer RNA (tRNA) molecules are approximately 80 nucleotides in length. Their secondary structure includes four short double-helical elements and three loops (D, anti-codon, and T loops). Further hydrogen bonds mediate the characteristic L-shaped molecular structure. tRNAs have two regions of fundamental functional importance: the anti-codon, which is responsible for specific mRNA codon recognition, and the 3' end, to which the tRNAs corresponding amino acid is attached (by aminoacyl-tRNA synthetases). tRNAs cope with the degeneracy of the genetic code in two manners: having more than one tRNA (with a specific anti-codon) for a particular amino acid; and 'wobble' base-pairing, i.e. permitting non-standard base-pairing at the 3rd anti-codon position. RNAcentral also lists the same sequence under 4 other names. The record is from RNAcentral. Lineage: Archaea; Methanobacteriati; Methanobacteriota; Halobacteria; Halobacteriales; Halobacteriaceae.